Procambarus clarkii (red swamp crayfish) is the source of this 1069-nucleotide long non-coding RNA. RefSeq lists it as uncharacterized. Lineage: Eukaryota; Metazoa; Arthropoda; Malacostraca; Decapoda; Cambaridae. The record is from RefSeq and is a predicted model, not a curated record.
AAUGAGAAACGUGAUUGGCUAUUGAGUAUGUGACGUCAACUGAAAAUGAGAAACGUGAUUGGCUAUUGAGUCCACCUGGUCAUUGAGGCGCAACGGAACGUUAUUUUGCCCCUAGAAUUAGCCGAGUAGAGGUGUACAAGAGUCUUGAAGGAGCGAUGAUUGGAAUCAUACGCUGCCGAGCACAAAGUGGUGGCAGAUGUUCCCGUUGUACGAGAUGUGCUAGUUGAGUUACCAAGAUCAGCGUGUGGAGAGGUGCGGCAUGGGCGAAACCGAGCAAUGGUGAAAUAUGUAUUUGUGGUGAAAGCAGGAUUGUUGGAGGCGAACGAACGACACUGCAGAGUAAUGGAAGAGGCUGUGACGUUAAGUUUUUCAGGUGACACGUUUGAGGACCCUGGACGUGGAUGAGGUUGAUAGCAUCGUGUGUAGUUACUGUAGGGACACAACCUCCAGCUGUUGAAGGAUCAAGUUUCUCUUCCAUUCAAGAAGCGACUACGGAAGGAGCACCAUUGAUGAACAAGGAAAGUUGAUGGAGGCCGAGGGGAGACUACUGCGCCCAUGAGGUCGACACAUUCCUAGUUACAGGGUCGAGGCGGCGAGUUCGCCGUUGGUGGUUCCUGGCCGCUGUCCCUCGCGGGAUUGUGGGUGCUCCGGCGGAACCCCGAAAGUGAUAAGCCUGCAGAUCGGAAAUAUGCGCAUGAAUUGUAAUUAGUGUAAUGAAAAUAGUGCAAAUUUCAUUUAGUACGUAUAGAUGUAGUUAUAAUUAUAAAGUAGAAAUGAAAUACAAAUUGUAACGAAUAAUGCUUAUAAUGAAUGGUUAAUAUUUUGUUAUGCACUAGUCAAUAAUUGUGAUCGUAAUGAGGAAAUAUUGUUAAUGAAUGAAAUAGGUAAUUAAUAUAUAAUAAAAGGAAAAAUAUAUAAUUAUAUUAUUUAGCAAUAGAAAAGUAAAUAAGUGGGGAAUAUGAGCACGUUUUGUCGGAAGCUGAGAAAAGUUUCUAUUAGUGUUAUUGUUCAACGUUGUGUAGUGACAAAUGUUGACAGAAAGGUUAAAGUAAAACGGUAUAGGGAAAUA